This is a long non-coding RNA of Metopolophium dirhodum (rose-grain aphid), 436 nucleotides long. RefSeq lists it as uncharacterized. The transcript is spliced from 4 exons. The record is from RefSeq and is a predicted model, not a curated record. NCBI's taxonomy places the organism in Eukaryota, Metazoa, Arthropoda, Insecta, Hemiptera, Aphididae.
UUUUUUAGAAAGAAUAGCGACGAAUUUGUCAAUAAAAUACCAAGAAUUUUACUAUCGCAAAAACCUCAAUGAAUUUGUCACAAACGAUCCCAAACAACCGAUUACUUUUUUCUGUAAUUAUUAUAUGAACGAUUCAAACACACAGUUUAUUAAGAAAUUGUUUACAGUUGCAUAAAUAUUUUGUUUACUCGUUGGAAGAUAAAUAUAAAUUUAACUAUAUUAUAAUACAAUUACAUAUUAUAUUAUACAACGCAUUAUAAAUACAUACUAUACUCUAAUAAUUCAUAUUAAAAUAAAUUCAAUGUUUUCGAGAAAAAAUAAUCCAACCAAUACCGUUUGUUACUAAUAGUAGGUAGUAUAAAUUAUAAAUUAAUAAUAUAUUAAAUAUUAUAAUACUAAUAUAUACUUGUAAUAAUUAUGAAUAAACGCAACGCAG